AUUAUUUUGGCAGAAUUGAUGUGUAGAUUUUAGGAAUCUUUUAUAUAUACUAAAUAGUAUAUAAAUAAUA
This 70-nucleotide transfer RNA is filed under the name Parapsyche difformis. RNAcentral describes it as "tRNA-Leu". Lineage: Eukaryota; Metazoa; Arthropoda; Insecta; Trichoptera; Hydropsychidae. The record is from RNAcentral.